AUGUCUGAAUUGAGUUAUAAUAUGAUAGAGGAGGGACUCAGUGUUCAUAUUGUGUCUGACAGAGACUGUGGUUGAAUCGAUUCAGUCUGACUCUUUUCAGAAUGAACAUUUGUGUAAUGGAUCUUCUUCCAGUUAUUCUGCUCGGUGUCUCAGCUGCUGCUGUCUUUGGAAAUGUCAUCAAACCAGACCAACCAGAUGUUUUUGCUGAGGAGGCCUCAGAUAUUACAUUAUCCUGUAGUUUUUCUGGAGCUGGAGCUUCAGAUAAUCUCUACUGGUACCGUCAGUAUGGAAGAUCAAAACCUGAAUUUCUUGUACUCACCUACAGCAGUGCAAAAGAAGCUCAGCCGUCUGAUGUAGAUCUAAGAUUCACUGUUAAAGUUGAAAAAAAGGAACAUGUGUAUCUGGAGAUCUCCUCUGCUGCUGUAUCAGACUCUGCUCUGUACUACUGUGCUCUGGAGCCCACAGUGACAGGAAACACAUCAACUCUCUACAAAAACCUGCUACAAUGAGAGAUGAGAGACAAACACAGAGAUAUAGAUGAAGACAAAGACAAAAAAGCUGUGACUGGCAAUUAUGAACCAAUAGUAGAAAAAAAAUCACAGGUAGUACCAAAAUCAAAAGGUA
This is a non-coding RNA of Cyprinus carpio (common carp), 624 nucleotides long. Lineage: Eukaryota; Metazoa; Chordata; Actinopteri; Cypriniformes; Cyprinidae. The record is from the annotation of a RefSeq genome assembly.